UGGGGAAUAUUGCACAAUGGGCGAAAGCCUGAUGCAGCAACGCCGCGUGAGGGAUGACGGCCUUCGGGUUGUAAACCUCUUUUAGUAGGGAAGAAGCGCAAGUGACGGUACCUGCAGAAAAAGCACCGGCUAACUACGUGCCAGCAGCCGCGGUAAUACGUAGGGUGCAAGCGUUGUCCGGAAUUAUUGGGCGUAAAGAGCUCGUAGGCGGCUUGUCGCGUCUGCUGUGAAAACCCGAGGCUCAACCUCGGGCCUGCAGUGGGUACGGGCAAGCUAGAGUGCGGUAGGGGAGAUUGGAAUUCCUGGUGUAGCGGUGGAAUGCGCAGAUAUCAGGAGGAACACCGAUGGCGAAGGCAGAACUCUGGGCCGUAACUGACGCUGAGGAGCGAAAGCAUGGGGAGCGAACAGG
RNAcentral lists this ribosomal RNA (409 nucleotides) under Bacillota bacterium. RNAcentral's name for it is "Firmicutes bacterium partial 16S ribosomal RNA". It matches the Rfam family "Bacterial small subunit ribosomal RNA", at positions 355 to 776 of the family's 1533-position model. Lineage: Bacteria; Bacillati; Bacillota. The record is from RNAcentral.